Small nuclear RNA from Manis javanica (Malayan pangolin), 189 nucleotides. RefSeq annotates it as U2 spliceosomal RNA. NCBI's taxonomy places the organism in Eukaryota, Metazoa, Chordata, Mammalia, Pholidota, Manidae. The record is from RefSeq and is a predicted model, not a curated record.
AUUGCUUCUCAGCCUUUUGGCUAAGAUCAAGUAUAGUAUCUGCUCUUAUCAGUUUAAUAUCUGAUACAUCCUCUAUCUGAGGACAAUGUGUUAAAUGGGUUUUUGCAGCAGGAAGUUGGAGUAGGAGCUUGCUCUGUCCACUUCAAAAGAAAAAAAAAUUAGGUACUAUUUAAUGAGUAUUUAUCUCUA